This 492-nucleotide ribosomal RNA is filed under the name uncultured bacterium. Its description in RNAcentral is "partial 16S ribosomal RNA". It matches the Rfam family "Bacterial small subunit ribosomal RNA", at positions 29 to 507 of the family's 1533-position model. The record is from RNAcentral.
AGUGAACGCUGGCGGUAGGCCUAACACAUGCAAGUCGAACCGCAGCACAGUAAGAGCUUGCUCUUACGGGUGGCGAGUGGCGGACGGGUGAGGAAUACAUCGGAAUCUACUUUUUCGUGGGGGAUAACGUAGGGAAACUUACGCUAAUACCGCAUACGACCUACGGGUGAAAGCAGGGGAUCUUCGGACCUUGCGCGAUUGAAUGAGCCGAUGUCGGAUUAGCUAGUUGGCGGGGUAAAGGCCCACCAAGGCGACGAUCCGUAGCUGGUCUGAGAGGAUGAUCAGCCACCCUGGAACUGAGACACGGUCCAGACUCCUACGGGAGGCAGCAGUGGGGAAUAUUGGACAAUGGGCGCAAGCCUGAUCCAGCCAUACCGCGUGGGUGAAGAAGGCCUUCGGGUUGUAAAGCCCUUUUGUUGGGAAAGAAAAGCAGCAGGUUAAUACCCCGCUGUUCUGACGGUACCCAAAGAAUAAGCACCGGCUAACUUCGUG